AUACGGAGGGUGCAAGCGUUACUCGGAAUCACUGGGCGUAAAGCGCGCGCAGGCGGCUAUUUAAGUUGGAUGUGAAAGCCUACGGCUCAACCGUAGAACUGCAUCCAAAACUAUUUAGCUAGAGUGUGGGAGAGGAAGAUGGAAUUAGUUGUGUAGGGGUAAAAUCCGUAGAGAUAACUAGGAAUACCAAAAGCGAAGGCAAUCUUCUGGAACACUUCUGACGCUGAGGCGCGGAAGCGUGGGGAGCAAACAGGAUUAGAUACCCUAGUAGUCC
Molecule: ribosomal RNA, 274 nt
Filed under: uncultured bacterium
Lineage: Bacteria
Description: partial 16S ribosomal RNA
Rfam family: Bacterial small subunit ribosomal RNA
Source: RNAcentral